Non-coding RNA from Salvelinus sp. IW2-2015, 571 nucleotides. Lineage: Eukaryota; Metazoa; Chordata; Actinopteri; Salmoniformes; Salmonidae. The record is from RefSeq and is a predicted model, not a curated record.
AAGAGACUUAUUUGCAAUAGUCCUGACAAUCUCCAGGCUCAGUCUAUUGAAGAGCUGAAACAGCAGAAGUCGUAUCUGAAGCUGUUAAAGAACCAGGGUAAAGAACUCAGAGAGCUCCGUAAGAAACACCUGAAGAAGGUAUGGUCCCUGAGUAAGGAGCAGAAGACUCGCUUUAGCCAGCUCCACUCUGACACACAGAAACAACGCAGUCAGAUGGAGAAACACCUGAAAUCAGCAUGAAGAAGAAUCAGUCAGCAGAGCCGGUGCAGAGGCAGCUGACCAGCGUUUGGAGGUGGAGCUACAGAAAACAGACAGUGCAGCUCAGGGAGUGGCGAAUGGAUGAGCUUCUCAAACUACGACAACAACAACACUCACGGAGAGAAAGAAGAGACACACACACCUACGAGAGCUGUCUCAGAAACUAGAGGAGACGGCCCAGGAAUGCCAGCCGGCUCAACUGAAAAAACUCAAGGACAUCUGUGCUAGAGAGAAGAAGGAGCUUCAGAAGAUUCUAGACAGGAAGAGACAGAACAGCAUCAUCGGGCCAAGAGCAGAGACCGAGAGCAAGGCC